UAUUGAACUGUGUGUUGCUGUUGC
Molecule: non-coding RNA, 24 nt
Filed under: Cricetulus griseus (Chinese hamster)
Lineage: Eukaryota; Metazoa; Chordata; Mammalia; Rodentia; Cricetidae
Source: RNAcentral